This is a non-coding RNA of Cherax quadricarinatus, 716 nucleotides long. Lineage: Eukaryota; Metazoa; Arthropoda; Malacostraca; Decapoda; Parastacidae. The record is from RefSeq and is a predicted model, not a curated record.
UCAAUGUUGAGGCUGCAACAGUCAAUGAUGAGGUUGCAACAGUCAAUGAUGAGGUUGCAACAGUCAAUGAUGAGGCAGCAACAGACAAUGAUGAGGCUGCAGCAGUCAAUGAUGAGGCUGUAACAGUCAAUGAUGAGGUUGCAACAGUCAAUGGUUGUGACUACUAGUUAUAAACUUUAGUAAUUCAAGACGAUCGCUUGAUGUGUGCAGCUCACACAUCAAGCGAUGGGAUGGGGGGCCGGAGUGUAUCCAGUAGUGGGCAUUAAGCACCAAACAUCCUCUAGUUGAAGUUAUUAAAAAAAAAUCGUGUGAAGUUGACUCAAGCCAAUAACUUGGCCACUCCAUCUUCCUUUACCUGACUACGUCUACUUUUGCUUCGCCUUCUUUGUAUAUAUAUUGUCAUGUCAAGUGUGUUGUGUAUUGGUUUCAUAGACCCCUUUGAGGGGUAAAUAUUAUUUUUAGAAAUGUAGAUUUUUCUACAAAUAAUGUCCUAUUAUCAAACUGCGGGUGCUUUAAUAUCUUUUCUUUUGCGAAUCUUCGAUUUUAUCCUCUGAAAUAUAUUGACAAGUUAUUUUAUGUUCAAUUUAAAGUUAUUACAUAAAAGUUGCCGUCUAAGAUAAAAAUCUUAUUUAGUUUUCAAAGUUUUACGUUUUGUUUAAUUCGAAAAUGAAUGGAGUUUUUGAGAUGUUAAUAAUAAAUAAACAGUUUGUACCUAU